Oryctolagus cuniculus (rabbit) is the source of this 11522-nucleotide non-coding RNA. The record is from RefSeq and is a predicted model, not a curated record. Lineage: Eukaryota; Metazoa; Chordata; Mammalia; Lagomorpha; Leporidae.
UGAAGAGCAAGACAGAGCCAAGUUAUAACCUCAUUAGCUAUGGGUCUUUUAGAAACUUGUGCCUGGAAUGUAGGUAGACUGUUAUGGUAGGAGCUUAGAUCUGUGGACUUUUUUCUCUUUUGGCCUAAAUUCAAAAUGCUCAUCAAUGUGAAUAAGCUGCUCCCUACGGCUUGAGGCUCAACACUGAGGCCUGGUAUCAGGAAAUGAACUUACUAACAUGUGACCUUGGAGCUUUAAAGGUUUAAUGCACUUUCUCAACUGUCUGAUGUGCCAUUAAAGAAGCUUAUCUGGCUGGCAGAAUGUAAAGGUUGUACAAACUGCUUUGAAAACAAAAUUAUCUACUCUUAUAAUAUUCUGAAAUUCAAAUAGUUAGGUAAGUAUUGUCUUUGGAAAGAUGAAUCGUUCUCUAAAUUACACAGAAUUUCUUGUCACUGGCUUACAGCUUUAUAAGGAUGUGAAUUCCUAGUUCAAAUUCAAAUCAAAGCAUUUCAUCACAAGAAGAAUUCUUCCUCAGGUGAAAAUACAUGUGACUGGAUAUGUCUGCUUAUGGUGCAUUGUGUUGGCUUUGACAGGUACAAGAGACAGCUCUGGAAUUGUGUUUUUUUGUUGUUGUUGUACUAUGCGGGUGAUUAAUGAUCAAGAGUUUUAUUUCUGAAAUAAACAUUAAUGACACAAAAAUUAAAGGUGGGCUACCAUAAAUGCAUAUAGGGAUUCAGUUACAGAAGGUUGGAUUUGGCUUUUGCAAAUUAUAUAUUUGGCAACAGAGUAUAAGUAUAACGGAAUAUAAUAGGGUAUAUCCUUACCCUAUCAGCUUAUUGGUUUAGGUUAUAAGGAUCCUGAAAGAUAGGUUUUAAAAAUUUCGUUAAAAUUUGUCUUGUUUGUGUGGGUCCUCACAAGUUGAGAGAAAUAGUCAUUACACACAAGGUUGUUUUUAAGGUUAUUUUUGUUUUUAGCCCAGAAUUCAGUCAUUAUAUUGUGUUACAUGUAGUUGUUCAAUAACAUUAAUUAAAAUACCAUCUCUGCUAGAAGGUGAUGGGAAACAGCCAGGCUGCCUCCUAGGGACUGAUAAAUAGGUGGAGAGGCAGAGUGAAUAUUUGGAUUUGUCUUCCUUUCUUAAGACUACUUUCUGAAAUAAAAAUUAAAAAUAGGAUUAUUAGAUCCUAAACAUGUUUAGAACUACUCUCCCUUGUCACCACAGAUGUUGUUAGGCUAAACUUCCCUCUUCAGCUUAAAAUAGCCUCUUGGUCACUAAUCACCCACACGGUACAAGAGUGCUAUCACAGAGCUGUCACUGUACCUGCCAGACACAGCGCUCUACAGCAAACAAAUAAAUCCCAGUCUCAAAGAUUCCCACAACCUUAAUGUUCUUUAUCUUACAAUUUAUGGGGUGGGGGGGAAAGGCAGGAGACACUAAGUGCCUAAAACUGGGCUCUGCACUAGCACAUCUAGGAAGUCCCAUGUCCAGAUGUAGGACUGCUGUGGGGCUAGAAUGGAACUUUCAUCUCGCUGUACUGGACUUUGUGGAUAGAAAGGACUGGUAGAGAGCACAAGUAUCCUGUCCAUGCAGAGGCCAGACGGGGCUGCUACAAGCUCUGUCUCCCUUUGCUAUUGAUUUUUUUUUUGCAAGACAGAUCCAAAAAAGCUUCAAAAUUUGGUCCUAGUCAGUUCCCAACAUUCUUAGAGGGACUUGUUAGUGAGACUAACUAGCGAGGAUUAGCCUGGGUCACUAUGGGUGCUGUUCAAUUAGUGCUUCAGGCAGGAUACACAACAGACUCAUAGAAUGGCAGAUGCCCUAAGCAGCACUCUGGCCUCAGAAUCAGCCCUUGAGGCAUUCGGAUCUGGCUGAAAAGCCCAUGAGAGUAUUUUAGGCAUGGAAAGCCAAGACACUCUGGCAAAAAAAAACAAAACAAAACAAAACAAAACAAAAAAAAACCUAAAUGAAAGAUCUCUGUGAGUGAGACCCCAGUAGAAAGAAUGGGCCAUCAAAGAAGGAGGUAACUUUCUCUGAAGGGAGGAGAGAACUUUCACUUUGACCAUGGCCUUGUCUAAAUAAGAUCAAAGUCAGCAAACUCAGAAGGCUUCCAUAGCCUUGGCAACUCAUGACAAGAGCCUAGGGAGAUUGCUGAUACCAUCAACAAGAGUGCCAAUUUGUUAGGUCAACAACAGGAGUCACUGUGCACUUAUUCCUCAUGUAGGAUCUCUGUCCUUAAUGUGUUGUUCAAUGUGAAUUAAUGUUAUAACUAGUACUCAAACAGUAUUUUACACUUUGUGUUCUGUGUGGGUGCAAACUGUUGAGAUCUUUACUUAAUAUAUACUAAACUGAUCUUCUGUAUGUAAAGAUAAUUGAAAAUGAGUCUUGAUGUGAAUGGAAUGGGAGAGGGAGCGGGAGUUGGGAGGGUUGCGGGCAGAACGGAAGUUAUGGGGGAGGGCAUUGUAAUCUAUAAGCUGUACUUUGGAAAUUUAUAUUUGCUAAAUAAAACUUAAAAAAAAAAUUAGUGCUUCAGUUUACACAAUAAAAGUGCUCCCCGUAAGUCCUCCUGGAUGCUCCUUCUUGGGUCUUGAGUCUAUGGUAGGGCAAUGAUUCUGUAUCUACACCCAAGUCCAGGCCCUGCCCCUCUACUUGUCACUUUUCUCCCCAGGGAUUGCUGAGCAAACUGUCUGCAUAACAAUUUACCAUUGGGUUUUUUGAAUACUGGCUUUAAAUUCAUCACAGCAACAUUGUGUCUUCACCCCUGUCUGCAAAACUAACCCUACCAUGUAAAUUUAAAUAUUAAUCGCAGAUGCGUGGAUUUGGCUACUUAGCAAUGGAACACAUUCUGUUUUACAUGCACAUUUUCUUAGACAUGAGAUCUGAAGAGAAAUUAGUUCUACAUGCUCAGCUGCUGCUAACCUCGAUAGAUUGCUGGGGGGUGCUUGAGGAGGGCAUUAUGGAGAGAUUUGUACUUCAAAGACCAAAGCAAGAUCCCAUUCCCUAGGAACCAAUUACACAGGAAGCCCUCCACCCCAAAUCGUAAGACAAAUGAAGAGUCUUCUUAAAAACUCAAUCAUUGAAAAUGAUUAUCUAUCAAUGUUUUACAUGAUUAUUUCCAUUCCCUAUCAUCCUCACUCCCAUUCAGAAUCACGCUUACUAUCGGGGAAAUAGUUCAAUCUAACUGUGAGGUAGUGGUGCACUACAGAUAACAAAGACUGCAACAGGGCAUGACAAUUUCUCACUUCCUGGGGCUUCCUUCAGGAGAGAGUUAGAGUUCACUGGAACUGGGGCAUGGGUAGAACGGAGAGCAAGAGCAGCCAGAGAACCACGGUAACUCAUAACCUUUCUGUGUAACCUCUGCAGCUCUGGGAGUUGGAAAUAAGCAAGCAGGGGUGGGAGGCUGCCUCGGAGACAUGAAGGAGAAGGUGGGGUGGAAGAAUUGGAAAAUCAAUAUUCCAAUAUUCCACAGUUCUCAUAGGUUACUCAAAUGGAGACAAGAAGGAAAAGCAGGCACGCAGUAGGAAGGGAGACACAGAACAGUGUUAUGGCCUGAAUUCUCCCCAUCCUGGAUGAGGUGGCUGUGCAUGGUCAAUGGAAGCGGUGUCUUAGUACAGUGAAUAAGCGGCUCUACAGGGCACAAGGGUCUAGAGUGAUAGUGACCAUUACAUUGAGCGAGCAUGGCAGGGAGGGAUCUGUAUUAUGAAGCAGACUGCCCUCUGAGUAAGUCUGGGAGUCCUGUAUUUUGGUGUCCUCUGGGCUUACGGUACAUAAUGAAUAGAAAGAAGAAAAAUAAGAGUGGGCAUUGUGAUGCAGUGGUUUAAGCUACUGCUUGGAACACCCACAUCCCAUAACCUGGUAUUGGUGUGAGUCUGCUUCCAAUCCAGCUACCUGCAAAUGCACCUGAGAAGCAGUUCAUGAUGCUUGGGUUCCUGCUUUCCAUGUGGGAGACCUGAAUGGAGUCCCUGGCUCCUGGCUUUGGCCGAGCCCAGCCACAGCAGUUAUUGUUGCAGUCAUCUGGGGUGUGAGCCAGUGGGUGGAAGAGAAUCUCUCUCUCUCUCUCUCUCUAUGUGUGUGUGUGUGUGACUCUAGUCUUCAAAUAAAUAAAUAUAUCUUAUUAAAAAAAAGAGAGGAAAAAGUGGACCCCGAGGUAGUAGGGGUAGUGGGGAGGAAAGUUGAGAAAUAGGUUCCUCUGUAAAUAGUCACACCCUAAUGCUGUCUCAGAGAGGCUGCCUGCUGAGGUUGGAACUCCCAGUGUCCUCCCUCUUCCAUCCUCCAUCAGGGCAGGCCAGACUGUUUCCUGCCAUAAAACAGGCAAGGAAGAAAACGUGGGCUGCAUUUGGCUACCUGAGACCUGAGUUAGAAUGUUGGAGACUGAAGAAAGCUUGAGUUCAAAGACAGUUUACAAAAUCUGAGAAGCAAAUUUCCCACAGCAAACUCAGCUUCAUGCUGAGUUACCGCCAUGGGUCAGGAGGGGGCAGGAGCCCAAAGGCUAAGGGGUUGUCCUCUCUCCUUUCCUCAAAUGUGACUUAACCACUCUUUGUUCUAGUCUUAGUUCCCGAAUCAACACCGUAAAAACCAACUUUGUCCAUCAAAUCUAAAGAAGGAGGACAUUGAAUACAACUAAACAUAUAUAGAUGUGCCGAACAAGGUGUCAAAUGGGGUAGAAGGCCAGAAAGGCCAAGCCUAACCACUGCCCUGAAGGAAAUGACUUGUCAGGCCGGUAACUACAGGGCAGGGAAGAGGAGGUUAAGUACUGACCAGAGGUAGCUGGAAGCAGAGAGGGAGGAAGGAACACUCUGGCUCAGGAAAUUUUCACAGAGGGGAGGGUCCAUGAGCUGGACUUGCUAAUUCCCUUGGCCUCAUCCUCAUUUGCUUCUGGGCUGAUGCUGAGGACUUCAGCAGAGAAAGUAACAGAACUUUCAUCCUGGUUCCCACUCCCCAGCAGGACAGCAUCUUCAGCUCUUCCUCCCCAGUAGCUUUCUCCAGAGUCCUUUACAUUUUGGACUCUGUAACAGAGUCAGCACCCAGAAUCCUCCGCGUCUCUUCUAUCACUGGGUUUUCUGUGCAGCCGUGGGCAGGGAUGCUCUCUCCUAUGUCUCCUCACUUUGAUGGCCCCAUCUCAGAGGUGACAUCCCAUGUAUCCUUUCCCUGGUUCUGAGGCACCAUUGUUGACUGGACUUCAGGCGCCAAGGAGAGGCAAGAGAGAACUUGUAGUUUCUGAACUGUUAAUGAUGUCUUGCCUAUGCUUAACUGGUCAUAUCUCUACUGGAAACAGUAGAGAUAUGACCUUCUUUUCCUUCCCAGAAACACCUGGUGAAGAAGAAAGAAUUGAAUUUUCCUAGCGCACAGGCAGACACCAAAGAAGGGAAUUUCCAGGACAGGGAAAGAUGAAAUCAUACUAUAAGGUCAGGAGGAAGUAGAAAGCUGAGGCUUUCUUGACCUAGGCUUCUAGGAUGACUGAGAUAAUGAAGAUGUAGGCAGCCAGCCUUGGAACCCAGUGGAGGUGUGUGAUCGAGUGCACUUGGAUACACAGAAGCACGACCUGCUUCCACCCACACUCUCCCAAGUUAAAAUAAGUUUGACACUUUAGGGUCACUUUCAAAUACCUUAGCUUUUAUAACCAAGAUGAGCCUUUGUCCACCAACAGUUUCCCUACAGCGGCUCACUUCCCAAGUCUCUCUCCAUUCUAUUGCUCUCUCUGGCUCCUGUAUCCAGUCUUCACUUUCACCUCACAUAUCUUAUACAUUCUUUCUGGAUUCAUCUACUAAGGAACAAUAUGAGCACAUCAAUGUGUAUACUUGUUGCUCAUCUACUGGGCCUUUAAGGGCAAGAUAUAUCUUUUUCUGUCUUUAAUACCAAGACUUAAUGUAGAAUUUUACACAUAACACAUGUGUAAUACGUGUGUCAAAAUAGAGGAAUGUAUAGACAAAACAGUUUGAUAAUUAAAAUCUGAGAGAAAAAAACACACUUAAAUUUAGUUUCAAGGUCUUAUGGAAGUUGAGAUACAGUGAAACAACUGUCAUUAUUGAAGCAAUUUAUCAAAAGCUGAAGAAAUAACUAAAACAGUGAUUUAUUUAAAAGUUAUGUUUUAGAUAUUUACAUCUCCCCAACGUUCUUAAUACACAAAAAUAUGGCUAACUAAAAAUGUGUUGGGGCCAGCUGUUGUGGUGCAGUGGGUUAAGGCACCACCUGCAACACUGGAAUCCAUAUGGACACAGGUUUGAGUCCAUGCUACUCUACUUCUAAUCCAGCUCCCUGCUAAUGUGCCUGAGAAAGCAGUGGAAGAUGGUACAAGCGUUUGGGCACUUGCCACCAAAUUAGGAGACUUAGAUCAAUUUCAGGGUCCUGGCUUCCGCCUGGAUCAAACUCGGCCAUUGCGGCCAUUUAGGGAGUAAACCAGUAAAUGGAAGAUCUCUCUGUUGACCUCUUCCUAACUCUGUCUUAAAAAUAAAUAAAAUAACUGCUUUUUAAACAAAAAGAAAUCUGAUGAUUUCUUCUAAAUCAAAUGCAUAAAGUACAACAUGCAUUCUUUGUACAUUACUUAUUGGAAUUGUGGCCAGUAACUGGGCCUAAAUUUAAAGGAUGAUGCUUAUCUCCACCCUGCAAUUUUGUCAGUGUAUUUCUGUGACUCUAUGGAUUGUUUAAGAGAUUAGGUCAAAAGUCUAAAUGAUGGGUGCUUAAUGGAUGUGAGGCCCAGGAUAAACAGGAAGGCCGCCAUGGCCUUAACACAAGCCUUCUUCUAGUAAAGCUUCUUAACUGCGUCUAUGCCAACCUCUGGGUUGCUAUGACUUGGUAACUAACGCUGGCCAGGAGACAGGGCUGAGAUCAGACUUUGGCAAUAUCAUGCAGGGCCCCCAUAGGCCUGACAGAGAGUCUGUGGUGUGAGAACUGAGAUUUUUCAAGAAACCAAAGUGUUACAUAGAAAUUUUGAGAAGGCUUAAGUAAACAAGAUGAAACUUCACCUUGUAGCAUAAACCAGAAAAUAGAUUAGAUGGCCUUUCAAGGUUCACUCUAUUUUGGGGAUCCAAGAAUUUUCAUAUAUUUGGAAUAGAGAUUUUUAUAAAUCUCUUUUUUGAAAAAUUACAUAAAAAUAACAUAUUCAUAUUCUCAGCACACUAGGUCAUUAAACAAGUGGGAUUUCAUCAUAAUUGAAAAGAAUUAGCAGGAAUUUUGGAUGGGCCCAAUAGUAACUGAGCUCACUAGGCACAGAAUCUCAACAUGCUCGACCUUGGAAGAACAACAGAAAGUCAUCCUGACCAGAAACAUUCUUAGGAGAUAAAGCAAAGCUCAUUUUCAGGAUGUUUUAAAAAAAAAUGCAGUGAUGUGAACCAUGCAGAUGGAAGCUGAAGAGGCCAGAGAGCAGGCCUCGUUCUCUCCACGGAACCCAGCAGAGUUUCCAAGACACGAAGAGAGACACGCCGAAGAGGGCGAGACCACAGGCAGUGACCACAAGGGUCAGCAGGCUCACUGAGAUAUCUGCAAAGAAGCAAAGAUCAAAGAACAGAAACCAGACCCCACCAGGCAUCUGUCUCACCCUACAGUAGAGUCAAGGAGGCUGAAGCAUGAACCUGAGCUCACUCCUGGUGUUAUGGUGGCUGUAGACACCUGACUUUAAAGGAAAUUCCUAUGUGGCUUUACUGUGCUCCACUACACUCAGGGGCCCUCGGGAUUCUCCCUAGGGUUUGUCUCUACUGCCUGUCAUUAAUAUAUACACUGCUUCAAAGUUUUUUGAAUGUCCACAUGUGCCAGGUACUGUACAAGCCUCUGGAGAUACAGUAGAGAACAUGACAGACACAUUCCAUACCUUCACCGAUUCAUGAUCUGGUAAGGAGAAAUUAAAAAUUAGUUAUUCAGUCCUCAUAGUUUGGACUAUCCACAGCAGCAUGAACAUUCUGUGAUUUAUGACAAGUUGUAUUUCAGCUGAGGCACCUGCAAGUCAGUUACCUACUGAGCCAACCUGACAAACUGCCAUCAGUGAGCUUUUCAACAUGACUAUGAAGGUACCUGAUCAUUCUUAUAGUGAUAAAACUGUUUCCUCAUGAAAGUGCUCUUGAGAGAAAACUGCCAGGUGGUCAUGAGUCUAUCCUGUCUCCUCUGUGUCUCCUGGUCAAUCUGUGCCCUUGUGGUGAAAUAGCAUCAUGGAUCUGUUUUAAAACACAGGAUUCCAGUUCAACAGGAAUAACUGAGCUCAAACCUUUGUCAUUUCUGUCUCCUCAACUCCCACUGAAACAGGAUAUAAGCGAUGGAAAACAAGGAAUGGUAACAUCAAUCCAUCAGUGAACUAGUGACUGUGAGGAAUUUCUGGAAUUGUUUUAAUCAAAAAAAGCCAAUCCGUGCAGAAAACUUAACACAGGCAGAAGAAAGGAUACUGGGUGCAGAUAUAAAUUAAAAAUCUCGGGUGCAGGGGCCAGCAUUCGGUGCAGUGGUUAAGAUAUUGCUUGAGAUGCCGGCAUCCUAUGGGAGAAUACCAGGGUUCAAGUCUCAGCUCCAUUUCCAAUGUCAGCUUCCUGAUAAUGUCAUUCUGGGAGGUAAUGGUGAUGGAUUAAGUACCUGGAUCUGUGCAACCCAUGUAGGAGGCCUGAAAUGAGGUCCAGGCUCCUGAUUUUUACCUGACCCAGCCUUUGCCCUUGGGGGCAUUUGGAGAAUGAACCAGAGGAUAGAGGACCUCUGUCUCUGUGCCUUUCAAAUAAACAACAUUUUUUUUUUUUUGACAGGCAGAGUGGACAGUGAGAGAGACAGAGAGAAAGGUCUGCCUUUACCGUUGGUUCACCCUCCAAUGGCCGCUGUGGCUGGCACACUGCGCUAAUCCAAAGCCAGGAGCCAGGUGCUUAUCCUGGUCUCCCAUGCGGGUGCAGGGCCCAAGCACUUGGGCCAUCCUCCACUGCACUCCCUGGCCACAGCAGAGAGCUGGCCUGGAAGAGGAGCAGCCGGGACAGAAUCCAGCGCCCCGACCAGGACUAGAACCCGGUGUGCCGGCGCCACAGGCAGAGAAUUAGCCUAGUGAGCUGCGGUGCUGGCCAAACAACAUUUUUUAUUUUAAUCUCAGCUACUGGGCAAUUAGGGCAGAGAAGGAGCAUAAGGAGUGGAAUAGGAGGUCAAAGUAAAAGGUGCUAGAAACUAUAGUUCUUAGAGCCCCAACAGGAGGUGGAGGAGAGCAUAGUUGCUUCUCAGGCCCCACUUGGCUCUGAUGGCUCACACAAAAUUUGUGCAGACUUCUACAUUAGGUGGUAGUGCUGGUAGCCAGGGAAAGAUGAAACUCUCCCAGUUUCUCAGGCUGCCACAGAAAACAUCAAUCCCCAUCCCCCUCCAACAGAAUCUGAAAAGCAAAAUACACUCUGCACAGAAGCAAAAUCCCUUAAUACUUCCAGCAAUCCACAUGGAGGCAGAACUCCUUCCCUCUGUUCUGUUAGUCACUUCGGCUCUGUCCUGACACAGACAGCACCACACAGAUAGCACGGGAAGGGCUGGAGGAGCAAAACGCUGGGAAACACUAGAGUUUAAGGAGUGUGAUGUGAUGGCUGUUUAUUACUGAAUAUUCACUGUCUGUGCCACAGUGCCCUCCUCCAAGGGAGAAGCAUAAAUCCCCAUCUGCCAAUGCUGGUCCCCACCAUGUGACUUCUCUGCCCAGAGGAGGACAAGUCCAUGUAGCCCAUGUCAACUCCGAGUACUCGAGCUCUCACCUUCUGCAUAAGACGAGUCCUGAGAUACGGGAUUAUCUUCUGACUGGUGUGCCACAAAGAGAGGACCUGUAGCAUAGGUCCAAAGUCUAAAUGAAGAGUAAACUUAAAUCUGACCCACAUCUGUGGCAGGGCUGCAGGUGACACACAAGUAUACAUGACUAAUUUACCAUCCAAAGUUGGGACACUGUUGAGAGGGAGAGGGUUCAUAUGAAUAAUUGCAUGAGGAUAAGCUACCUAACCCAGGAUUGUCCAGUGUAAACUAGGAUAAAUGGUCACCCUGCACUUAAGAAUCCCACCUGAGCUGUGAAUUCAUUCACUCACCUUGACAUAGACAACAACAAACUAAAUUGAAGGCUUAGCCUGUGUUUCUCAGUAACCAGGGACCCCAAACCAGGUCAAGAACAACUCCAGGCUCAAAAGUCAGCCUCCUCUCAAGUCCAGUCAUGGGGAUCGUGAGAACAGAGACUUUAUCCAUUUCAACAAUGAAAGCCAAACACCUCACAGAGAUCCUGGCACCUAGUACGUGUCAAUAAAUCACGAAGCCUAUCUGAGGAGCCCUGUAGCUACCUGCUAUGUCUAUCUGUAAGCUUGGGGGUGGGGAGGAACAUGGAUGGGGGAUGAUAAUUGCAUUCCUAGUAACAGAAUUUCUGCAGAGAGCAGUUACAAAAAAAUUCUGGCAAAUGGCAAGAAAGGCCUCCUCUUAUUUACUUGAAGGCACCAUGUGAGUUAGCAGUGGGCCUAGGAAUGCCUCCCAGAGAAACCAUUGGUGACCUUCGGUGCCACUUUAGCCACUAAGUGUAACCAUCUGGACUGCUGCUAAUGAAGUUCUCAGUGUGCCCUCCACACACUACUUUGUGCUUUUCUCUUUUUUCAGAAAACAGCUCAAGUCACUAAGGCCACACGGCUCACCUCAGUGUCUAAGGAUUUGGCUGCUCUGCAUGAAGACUUAUUCUUACUGCCAAGAACUGGCUGUUGUGCGGUACCAGUACAUCACUGGCCCUAAUCCAGGCAGCAGGGAGACUGAAUUUUCUAAGGAACUGUACAAAACUAUUUUUCUUCUAAUAUGCCCAUUGCCCUUUAUCUAUGGUCUUUACCUGAUGUCCAUUUUAGUGCUCAAAAUAUUUACUUUAUCAGCCUUGCUUUUGCAGGAUAAGUGACGAUCACCAGAUGGCAACAGGGUUACACUUAACCCUGGGCAAUUAGAUGCAGGAGAUCAGCAAUUUCUGGGUUACAAUCAUAUACACACAAAAAAUGCAUAUACAUAUAGGAUAAUUAAAGAUUUUCUGUACUUCUCUAACUGGGUAACUUUCUUCACAGCAAAUGCCCUUAUCUUUGAAACAAUCAUUCUGCAAUUGUGCUUAUAAUUGCCUGUGAAGCUCGUCAAAAGUAUAGAUUCCUGGGACUGGUAUUACACCACAGCAGGUUAAGGCACAGCUUGGGAUGCCAGCAUCCAACAUGAGCAUCAGUUUGAGUCCCAGGUGCUCUACUUCUGAUCCAGUUCCCUGCUAUUAUGCCUGGGAAACCAGCGGAAGAUGGUCCAAGUGCUUGCACCCCUGCCACUUACAUGGGACACCUGGAUGGAGUUCCUGGCUCCUGGCUCCUGGCUCUGAUCUGGUCCAGUCCCAGCUGUUGCAGCUAUUUGAGGAGUGAACCAGCAGAUGGAAGACCUCUCUCUCUCUCUCUCUCUGUGUGUGUGUGUGUGUGUGUGUGUGUGUGUGUCUGUCUGUCUCUGUCUCUCCCUCUCUCUCUGUACCUCUGCCAUUCAAAUAAAUGAAUAAAUCUUUUAAAAUAGCAUAGAUUUCUGGGCUGUGCCUCUACAGAGCCCAAUUUUGGGUGAGGUCCAGGGACCUACAUUUUUAAUAAACACGCCU